RNAcentral lists this ribosomal RNA (1905 nucleotides) under Triticum aestivum (bread wheat). RNAcentral's name for it is "partial small subunit ribosomal RNA". The record is from RNAcentral. Lineage: Eukaryota; Viridiplantae; Streptophyta; Magnoliopsida; Poales; Poaceae.
AUGCGCGCGCAGGCGUGGGCGCGCGGGGGGGCGGUGGCGCGCUUGAUGACGCCAUUCAAUUGCCCCACGGCCCACGCCUCCUCCCCCGACCUGCUGCUGCCGCGGCUGCUGCUGCUCCGCUCCUCCUCCUCCUGCUCCUCUUAUAGCAUCCUCCCCACUCUCCUCCGACGCCAAUUCGCCUCGGACACCUCCACCUCCCCUGCCUCAGUUGACAACACCAGACAGAGUUCUCGUACGUUCAUGGAGGUUGUUCGAGAAGUCUUUAAGCACGGCUCUGCACAUGGUGCCCGUGCGGCUAUAAGAGCUGACCAGAAGAGUUACAGUCUUGUCCAGCUUAUUUCGUCUGCACUGGAUGUCCACAAUAUUUUGUGCAGAAAACAUGAUGGUAAAGAUUCUUCUGUCAAUGGAGCAAAAGGGACAGGAUUCCUUUGUGGUGCUCGUAUUGGCAUUGUGGCUAAACCCUCUCCUGAAUUUGUUGCUGGGAUAUUUGGAACCUGGCUUUCUGGUGGAGUUGCAGUACCCCUUGCACUUAGCUAUCCUGAAGUUGAACUUCUGCAUGUCAUGAAUGACUCGGACAUUUCUAUGGUGUUAAGCACAAAAGAGCAUCAUGAGAUUAUGGAAAGCAUCUCUACCAAAUGUUCCACUCGUUAUUCUCUUCUUCCACCUGUGGAAAGUAUACCUCCAAAGAUAGAUGCCCAAGAACCUUUAAGUAGUGUAUUGACUUCAUCAGUUUCUAGCUUAAUGGCUGAGAUUGACACUUUACAGAAAAUUAAAGGAGAUGAUCCUGCUCUUAUCCUUUACACAAGUGGCACAACUGGCAAACCGAAAGGAGUAGUCCACACUCAUGAUGGGAUACUUUCUCAGGUUCAAAUUCUGACAGAGGCAUGGGGAUAUCAAAGUGAAGAUCAGUUUCUUCACUGUCUUCCACUGCACCAUGUGCAUGGUCUUUUCAAUGCUCUAUUUGCGCCCCUCUAUUCAGGAUCAGUGGUCGAGUUUAUGCCAAAAUUCAGUGUGAGAGGAGUAUGGCAGAGAUGGUGCGAGUCAUAUCCCAACCACGGCAGUAAAAAUGAUGAGGCUAUUACAGUAUUUACCGGAGUUCCGACAGUGUACACACGCCUACUGCAAGGGUACGAUAGUAUGAAUCCUGAUCAACAGUCUGCCUGUUCUUAUGCCGCAAAGCAGCUGAGACUAAUGAUGUGUGGAUCAUCAGCACUUCCUUCCCCACUCAUGAAACGGUGGCAAGAAGUGACAGGCCACCGUCUUUUGGAACGCUAUGGCAUGACUGAGUUUGUCAUGGCACUGUCUAACCCAUUGCAUGGUGCACGGAAAGAAGGUACAGUCGGUAAACCUCUUCCACGUGUUGAGGCCAAGAUCAUUAUGGAUGAUGGUACUCAAACCAAAACUGGAGUCGGUGAGCUCUGUAUUAAAAGUCCGUCCCUUUUCAAAGAGUACUGGAAAAGACCAGAGGUUACAGCAGAAUCAUUUAUUGAUGGUGGGUUCUUCAAGACUGGUGAUACGGUAACUGUAGAUGAGGACGGAUACUUUAUAAUUCUAGGGCGCACGAAUGCUGAUAUCAUGAAAGUUGGUGGUUACAAGUUGUCAGCGUUAGAAAUUGAGGCGGUUCUGUUAGAGCAUGACACUGUACUGGAGUGUGCUGUUCUUGGCUUGCCUGAUGAAGCUUAUGGGGAGGUCAUAUGUGCAAUAAUUGUGCCUAAGGAGGAUGCGAAGGCAAGGGUCGAACAGUCUUCGAAGCCAGCACUAACCUUAGAAGAAUUGACAAGUUGGUCAAAAGAUAGACUUGCUCCAUACAAGAUUCCAACGAGAUUGCACUUAUGGGAUUCUCUUCCUCGGAAUGCCAUGGGAAAGGUUAACAAGAAGGAGCUUAAGAAAUUAUUAGAGGUGUAG